RNAcentral lists this ribosomal RNA (229 nucleotides) under uncultured bacterium. RNAcentral's name for it is "partial 16S ribosomal RNA". It matches the Rfam family "Bacterial small subunit ribosomal RNA", at positions 568 to 796 of the family's 1533-position model. The record is from RNAcentral.
UGCGUAGGCGGGGCAAUUAGUCAGUGGUGAAAUCCUGCGGCUUAACCGUAGAACUGCCAUUGAUACUGUUGCUCUUGAGUAUAGUUGAGGUGGGCGGAAUGUGUAAUGUAGCGGUGAAAUGCAUAGAUAUUACACAGAGCACCAAUUGCGAAGGCAGCUCACUAAGCUAUAACUGACGCUGAGGCACGAAAGCGUGGGGAGCGAACAGGAUUAGAUACCCUGGUAGUCC